Molecule: transfer RNA, 23 nt
Filed under: Allium roseum
Lineage: Eukaryota; Viridiplantae; Streptophyta; Magnoliopsida; Asparagales; Amaryllidaceae
Description: partial tRNA-Thr
Source: RNAcentral
CGGUUCGAUUCCGAUAGCCGGCU